CACCCCUCAAGCUCUGCCUGGUAUUGGGCAGCGUCCUUUCGGACGCGCCUCAAAGACCUCGGCGGUGGCGUCUUGCCUCAAGCGUAGUAGAAAACACCUCGCUUUGGAGGACGGGACGACCGCUCGCCGGACGAACCUUUGAAUUUAUUUUCCUAG
This 156-nucleotide unclassified non-coding RNA is filed under the name uncultured soil eukaryote. Its description in RNAcentral is "sequence contains ITS2". The record is from RNAcentral.